Molecule: ribosomal RNA, 253 nt
Filed under: uncultured bacterium
Lineage: Bacteria
Description: partial 16S ribosomal RNA
Rfam family: Bacterial small subunit ribosomal RNA
Source: RNAcentral
UACAGAGGUCUCAAGCGUUGUUCGGAUUCAUUGGGCGUAAAGGGUGCGUAGGCGGCGCGGUAAGUCGGGUGUGAAAUCUUGGAGCUUAACUCCGAAACUGCAUUCGAUACUGCCGUGCUUGAGGACUGGAGAGGAGACUGGAAUUCCCGGUGUAGUGGUGAAAUGCGUAGAGAUCGGGAGGAACACCCGUGGCGAAGGCGGCCAACUGGGCCGGACCUGACGCUGAGGCGCGAAGGCGUGGGGAGCGAACGGG